GCCUAGGUGGCUCAGUCGGUUGAGUGUCUGACUUUGGUUCAGAUCAUGAUCUCGCCCUUUGUGGGUUUGAGCCCCACAUCAAGUU
RNAcentral lists this transfer RNA (85 nucleotides) under Felis catus (domestic cat). It matches the Rfam family "tRNA". Rfam says of the family: Transfer RNA (tRNA) molecules are approximately 80 nucleotides in length. Their secondary structure includes four short double-helical elements and three loops (D, anti-codon, and T loops). Further hydrogen bonds mediate the characteristic L-shaped molecular structure. tRNAs have two regions of fundamental functional importance: the anti-codon, which is responsible for specific mRNA codon recognition, and the 3' end, to which the tRNAs corresponding amino acid is attached (by aminoacyl-tRNA synthetases). tRNAs cope with the degeneracy of the genetic code in two manners: having more than one tRNA (with a specific anti-codon) for a particular amino acid; and 'wobble' base-pairing, i.e. permitting non-standard base-pairing at the 3rd anti-codon position. The record is from Rfam by way of RNAcentral. Lineage: Eukaryota; Metazoa; Chordata; Mammalia; Carnivora; Felidae.